CCUACGGGAGGCAGCAGUGGGGGAUAUUGGACAAUGGGGGAAACCCUGAUCCAGCGACGCCGCGUGAGUGAAGAAGUAUUUCGGUACGUAAAGCUCUAUCAGCAGGGAAGAAAGAAAUGACGGUACCUGAGUAAGAAGCCCCGGCUAACUACGUGCCAGCAGCCGCGGUAAUACGUAGGGGGCAAGCGUUAUCCGGAAUUACUGGGUGUAAAGGGAGCGUAGACGGUAAUGCAAGUCUGGAGUGAAAGGCGGGGGCCCAACCCCCGGACUGCUCUGGAAACUGUGUAACUGGAGUGCAGGAGAGGCAGGCGGAAUUCCUAGUGUAGCGGUGAAAUGCGUAGAUAUUAGGAGGAACACCAGUGGCGAAGGCGGCCUGCUGGACUGUAACUGACGUUGAGGCUCGAAAGCGUGGGGAGCAAACAGGAUUAGAUACCCCUGUAGUC
This 443-nucleotide ribosomal RNA is filed under the name uncultured bacterium. Its description in RNAcentral is "partial 16S ribosomal RNA". It matches the Rfam family "Bacterial small subunit ribosomal RNA", at positions 338 to 795 of the family's 1533-position model. The record is from RNAcentral.